AACCCUUGACAUCCUGUGCUAACCCGAGAGAUCGGGCGUCCACUUCGGUGGCGCAGUGACAGGUGCUGCAUGGCUGUCGUCAGCUCGUGUUGUGAAAUGUUGGGUUAAGUCCCGUAACGAGCGCAACCCUUGUCCUUAUUUGCCAGCACGUAAUGGUGGGAACUCUAAGGAGACUGCCGGUGACAAACCGGAGGAAGGUGGGGACGACGUCAAGUCAUCAUGGCCCUUACGAGUUGGGCUACACACGUGCUACAAUGGCCGGUACAGAGGGCUGCAAACCUGCGAAGGUAAGCUAAUCUCACAAAACCGGUCGUAGUCCGGAUUGGAGUCUGCAACUCGACUCCAUGAAGUCGGAAUCGCUAGUAAUCGUGGAUCAGAAUGCCACGGUGAAUACGUUCCCGGGCCU
RNAcentral lists this ribosomal RNA (406 nucleotides) under uncultured bacterium. Its description in RNAcentral is "bacterial SSU rRNA". It matches the Rfam family "Bacterial small subunit ribosomal RNA", at positions 976 to 1381 of the family's 1533-position model. The record is from RNAcentral.